Molecule: ribosomal RNA, 373 nt
Filed under: uncultured bacterium
Lineage: Bacteria
Description: bacterial SSU rRNA
Rfam family: Bacterial small subunit ribosomal RNA
Source: RNAcentral
GGGGGGGGCAAGCGUUGUUCGGAAUUACUGGGCGUAAAGGGUUCGUAGGUGGCCCGCUAAGUCACACGUGAAAUCCCUCAGCUCAACUGGGGAACUGCGUGUGAGACUGGCGGGCUCGAGUGCAGGAGAGGAACGCGGAAUUCCAGGUGUAGCGGUGAAAUGCGUAGAUAUCUGGAGGAACACCGGUGGCGAAGGCGGCGUUCUGGACUGUAACUGACACUGAAAAACGAAAGCCAGGGGAGCAAACGGGAUUAGAUACCCCGGUAGUCCUGGCCCUAAACGAUGAAUGCUUGGUGUGACGGGUAUCGAUCCCUGUCGUGCCGAAGUUAACGCGUUAAGCAUUCCGCCUGGGGAGUACGGUCGCAAGGCUGAA